Molecule: ribosomal RNA, 477 nt
Filed under: uncultured organism
Description: partial 16S ribosomal RNA
Rfam family: Bacterial small subunit ribosomal RNA
Source: RNAcentral
GUACACUCCUGCGGGAGGCAGCAGUGGGGAAUAUUGCACAAUGGGCGCAAGCCUGAUGCAGCCAUGCCGCGUGUAUGAAGAAGGCCUUCGGGUUGUAAAGUACUUUCAGCGGGGAGGAAGGCAAUACGGUUAAUAACCGUGUUGAUUGACGUUACCCGCAGAAGAAGCACCGGCUAACUCCGUGCCAGCAGCCGCGGUAAUACGGAGGGUGCAAGCGUUAAUCGGAAUUACUGGGCGUAAAGCGCACGCAGGCGGUCUGUCAAGUCGGAUGUGAAAUCCCCGGGCUCAACCUGGGAACUGCAUUCGAAACUGGCAGGCUUGAGUCUUGUAGAGGGGGGUAGAAUUCCAGGUGUAGCGGUGAAAUGCGUAGAGAUCUGGAGGAAUACCGGUGGCGAAGGCGGCCCCCUGGACAAAGACUGACGCUCAGGUGCGAAAGCGUGGGGAGCAAACAGGAUUAGAAACCCGUGUAGUCCCAUG